GAUAAACGCUGACAGGAAUGCUUAACACAUGCAAGUCUAUGAUGGGGAGCGUAAGACCGUAGCUUAGAAGAAGUCAUGGCGGACGGGCGAGUAACGUGUAAAGAACUUGCCCUCUAGACUGGGAUAACAGAUAGAAAUGUCUGAUAAUACCGGAUAUUAUUGUUACAUGGCACCAUGUAGGAAUGAAAGGAUAAGAUUGCUAGAGGAGAGCUUUGCAUCCUAUUAGCUAGUUGGUAAGGUAGAGGCUUACCAAGGCGAUGAUAGGUAGCCGGCCUGAGAGGGUGGACGGCCACAAGGGGACUGAGAUACGGCCCUU
Molecule: ribosomal RNA, 316 nt
Filed under: uncultured bacterium
Lineage: Bacteria
Description: bacterial SSU rRNA
Rfam family: Bacterial small subunit ribosomal RNA
Source: RNAcentral